RNAcentral lists this ribosomal RNA (414 nucleotides) under uncultured bacterium. RNAcentral describes it as "bacterial SSU rRNA". It matches the Rfam family "Bacterial small subunit ribosomal RNA", at positions 8 to 426 of the family's 1533-position model. The record is from RNAcentral.
AGAGUUUGAUCCUGGCUCAGAUUGAACGCUGGCGGCAUGCCUUACACAUGCAAGUCGAACGGUAACAGGUCUUCGGAUGCUGACGAGUGGCGAACGGGUGAGUAAUACAUCGGAACGUGCCCGAUCGUGGGGGAUAACGCAGCGAAAGCUGUGCUAAUACCGCAUACGAUCUACGGAUGAAAGCGGGGGAUCGCAAGACCUCGCGCGGACGGAGCGGCCGAUGGCAGAUUAGGUAGUUGGUGGGAUAAAAGCUUACCAAGCCGACGAUCUGUAGCUGGUCUGAGAGGACGACCAGCCACACUGGGACUGAGACACGGCCCAGACUCCUACGGGAGGCAGCAGUGGGGAAUUUUGGACAAUGGGGGAAACCCUGAUCCAGCCAUGCCGCGUGCAGGAUGAAGGCCUUCGGGUUGU